Molecule: ribosomal RNA, 1109 nt
Filed under: human gut metagenome
Description: bacterial LSU rRNA
Rfam family: Bacterial large subunit ribosomal RNA
Source: RNAcentral
CCUAAGGCGAGGCCGAAAGGCGUAGUCGAUGGAGGACAGGUUAAUAUUCCUGUACCACCUUGCUGGAGUGAUGGAGGGACGCAGUAAGUCAGGCGAGCCAACUGCUGAAUAUGUUGGUCGAAUCCCGUAGGGCGUGUCAUAGGCAAAUCCGUGACACAACAGCCUGAGAGGCGUAAGGUAUCCGGGCGCAAGUCUGGAGAAUUCGCUGUGACUACACUGACGAGAAAAGCUUCUAAACGUCGAUAGCAGGGUGUCCGUACCGUAAACCGACACAGGUAGGUGAGGCGAGUAGCCUAAGGUGCGCGAGAGAAACCAACGUUAAGGAACUCGGCAAAUCAGCCCCGUAACUUCGGAAUAAGGGGUGCCGUUUCAGGUGGAGGGAUUUACUCCCCGAGCCCGGGACGGUUGCAAUAAAGAGGCCGGUGCGACUGUUUAACAAAAACAUAGCUCUAUGCUAACUCGUAAGAGGAUGUAUAUGGAGUGACACGUGACCAAUGCCAAAAGGUCAAUGGGAGAGGUUAGCGCAAGCGAAGCUUCGAUCUGAAGCCCUGGUGAAUGUCGGCCGUAACUAUAACGGUCCUAAGGUAGCGAAAUUCCUUGUCGGGUAAGUUCCGACCUGCACGAAUCGUGUAACGAUGCCGGCACUGUCUCAACGUGGAUCUCGGCGAAGUUGUAAUUCCGGUGAAAAUGCCGGAUACCUGCGGAAGGACGGAAAGACCCCAUGAACCUUUACUGUAAUCUGAUAUUGGUAUUUGAUUGCUCUUGUGUAGCAUAGGUGGGAGGCUGUGAAGCCGCUACGCCAGUACCGGUGGAGCCACAGGUGAAAUACCACCCUGGUGCAAUUAGAUAUCUAACGGAUGCCCGUGAAUCCGGACUCCGGACCGUGUCAGAGGGUCAGUUUGACUGGGGCGGUUUCCUCCUAAAUUGUAACGGAGGAGCCCGAAGGUACACUCAGCACGGUUGGCAAUCGUGUGUAGAGCGUAAGGGUAGAAGUGUGCUUUACUGUAAGACCGACAGGUCGAGCAGUUGCGAAAGCAGGGCCUAGUGAUCCAGCGAUGGAAUGUGGAAUCGUCGUUGCUCAACGGAUAAAAGGUACUCUGGGGAUAACA